CAGGAAGCCAAGGUCUUUUAAAUAUUUAGAAUUUUGUCAUACAUUUUGUGUAAUAUAUCCAAAAAUAUGCCAGCACUGUUUGGAAAAAUAAGAAAAAUAUAAGAAAAAAAUCUUAAAGUUAUAGAUAAAAUUAUUACAUAAAGAUAUGUUUAUAUAUCACAAAACUGACAGUGGGCAGCUGCUGUAAUAAUACCUGGGUUAUAUUCCAACAACAAUAAUCAGAUUGUUGUUUAGCAGAAGUUUCUAAAAACACUAACCUUUAAAAAUUAAUGUUUACUUGCUGCUGAAACAGGGGACUUUAUGUCAGAUUUUCAAAGUCCAUAAAUAUUAUCAUAAAAUAGUCUUCUUGGAAUUAUGAUUAAUACUGUGAGAAUUGAAGUUAGUUAAAAACACAAUACCAGGUCACCAAUCACAAAAGUUCACCUUCAUAUGUUAGAGCAUUGCACCCAAAGCAAUCAGUAGCAACUUGAAAAUCCAUAUGGAAAGCAAUACAAACUUUCUGGAAUGAAUGGCCAGCACCAAAAAAGGCACAGAUAUUAUUUUACAAACACCAGAUUUACAGGUAUUGGGAGAGAAAAUAAAUUCAAAAUGUAAUUUAGACCAAUCCACACACCAAGACUCAGUUUUGUGCAUAUAAAACCUCUGUAUAAAGCAGCCUCUGAGCUCUGUAGCACUUUUGUCUUUAGCUUCACAGAGGAGGUGAGUAAAGCCUGGGCUCCUGGGAGAAAUGCACUUUCUGUACCCUCUGUCUGAAAGGAAGCAGGGGCUCUGAACACAAUUGUUAAAGAUGUGAAUCAGAUGCACAUGAAAGACAAGCGCCAUCAUAAGAGGUGGUGAAAGUCACAAUCUUAACGUUUAGCUGGGCCCUGUUAUGAAACUCUCUGUACCACCCCAAAAGUUCAUACAAUACACAUUCAUGUUUUAAACUAUGUGAGCUUUGUACAAAUAUGCAACUCAGAACCUUACCUAUUGCCCUAAGCCUAGCUAUGAGAGGCAAAUAUCUCUUAUUGUUUGAAUCUCAGUAUAAGCUUAAUUGUCAAGUCUGAGAAUGGAAGCGCGGUAUAUGUCAUAAUCCCAUUUGUGGGCAAAAAACUAGGCAGGGGGGUAAUAUCCUUUAGGUGCUGUGCCAAGCAACAUGUUACAAUGCCCUCUCUAGGCAGGCCCUAGGAAGGAGGGUAACAUUAAUUUCGUGCUGGACCUAGCAAUAGGACACAAUUCCACAUGUGGAAAAAACCCAGCCAAGAGAUAAAAGACAAAACACCUACAGAACGGGCCCAAGAUAUGUCAAAAUACCUUCUGUGGCUCCAGCACAUGCAGGAGAGUCACAUCAUCAGGGUGCUGGGGCCAGCAGUGUGUCAUAAUUCCCUCUUUAUGCAGGACCCAGGCAGAAGAGUGACAUCAUCUGGGUGCUGGGCCCAGCAAUAUGUUAAAAUUCCCUUUUUGUGGGCAUGGUUCAGAAAAGAGGAGAGUCACAUUACCUAAGUGCUGGACUCAGCAAUAUGUCACAAUUCCCCCAUUGUAAAGGCCCAGGCAGAAGAAGAAAGUCACAUCACUUAGGUCAUGGGCUCAGAGAUAUGUCCCAAUGUCCCCAAUAGGCAGGGCUCAGGCAGAAAAGGAAAAUCAUAUCACCUAGGUGCUUCUCGAGGUGUAUAUCACAAUGUAACAUGUGGGCAGAAACCAGGCAGAAGAGCCACAUCACCUGGGUGCUGGGUCUUCGAUAUGUCACAAGCUACCUUAGGACAAGACCCAGGCAAGAGAGUUACAUCACCUAAGUGCAGGUUCCACCCUUAUGUCACAAUGCUCCAUGUGGACAGGGCCCAAGCAGGGUGUCACAUCACCUAGGUAAUAUGCUCAGAGAUAUGUCACAAUACCCUCCUUGGGGAAUGGCCCAGGCAAAAGAGUACCAUCAUCUCUCUGCCUGGACUACACAUAUGUCAUUAUUCUCCCUGUGUGCAGGGCUUAUUCAAGAGAGGAGAGUUACAUCACCUAAGUGGUGGGUGCAGGUUCCACCCUUAUGUCACAAUGCUCGAUGUGGGCAGGGCCAAGCAGGAAGUCACAUCACCUAGGUGAUAGGCCCAGAGAUAUGUCACAAAGCCUUCCUUAAAGCAUGGCCCUGGCAAAAGAGUACCAUCACCUUUUUGCAUAGCCUAGCAAUAUGUCACUAUUCAAGUGGUAGGUCCCAAGAAGAGCCAUAUCACCUACAUGAUAGGCCCUCUGAUAUGUCAAAAUGUUCUCUUUUGGGCAUGGCCUGGCAAAAAAGUAUCAUCACCUGUGUGCCUGGCCUAGGAAUAUGUCACUAUUCUGCCCUGUGUGUAGGGUCUUUUCCAGAGAGGAGAGUUACAUCUUCUAAGUGAUGGACACAGAGAUAUGUCACGAUGAUGUCUGUGGGCAUGGUGCAGCUGCGUGCUGGAUCCAGUGAUGUCACAAUUCUUACUGAGAGUAGGGCCCAGGCAGAAGAGUUCUUUAACACUUCAAGGUUGGCCCAGGUAGAUAUCAAAAUCCCAUAUGUAGGCUGGAACCAGUCUGAAGAGUGAAAUCUCACAGGUGCUUGGCAAAGAUUUAUAUCACAUGAAAUUUAUAUCACAUGACUAUCACGAUGAAAUAAAAUUUUAGGGAUUAGAUUUACAAUACCACACAUGUUCUGUUUUCAUGUAGGACAGUUGCCUUCAUCCAUCUGUGAUGGUGAAAGUCCUUACUGUCAGGUGGGUGUGCAUAUGAGACUCACAAUUUUCUCCAUGUGCUAGGCCCUGUUCUGACACUCUCUAUACAACCCAAGGGUGUUAUAAAAUAUGUGUGUGUUAUAAUCUUCUGUGACCUUUUUACCAGAAGGAGACCCUUUACAUCACUCAUGUCCCUAAACCUAGUUAUGAGUCAAAAUUUCUCCUAUUGGCUGGGUCCACAUAUGAGUCAUUAUCAUGCCCGUUAGCUGUGCCUAGGUAUGUGUCACCAUCCCCUCUGUAGUUAUUAAACAGGCAGGACAACCACAUCACCUAAAUCCUAAGCCAGAAAUAUUCCAAUAUUCUCUUUGUAGGCAGGGCCCUAACAGAAAAGUCACAAAACUUGGGUGCUAGGCUCAGCUCUAUGGCAUAAUGCCUCUUGUGGAGAACAUCCAGGCAGGAAAGGAGAGUCGCAUCACCUAAGUGAUGGGCCUAGAGAUAUGUCACAACUCCUGUUAAAAGGGCCCAGGCAAGAGAGUCAUGUCAUUUGGAUGCAGUGCUUAGAAAUGCUACACUCUUCACUGGAAGCAGGGUUCAGGUAGGAGAGGAGAGUCACAUAACCUAGAUGAUGGGUCCAGAGAUAUGUGACGGUCCCUUCUGAGGACACUGUUAAGAUAUGAGAGUCAAAUCACCAAGGUUCUUGGCCCAGGUAUACGUCAAUAUGUCAUCUGUGGGCUAUAACAGGCAGGAUUAUUAAAUCACUCAGGAGGUGGGCACAGGUAUAUGUCACAAUAACACCUGUGGAAAUGUUCAGGGAUGAGAGUCACCAUCCUGCACAAGUCCUGGCUCCAGGUACAAGAGUCCUUAUUAGGCCUUUGAUCUGGUCUCUGGUAUAUGGCACAAUAUCACCUGUGAACAGAGAACAAGCAGGAAGGUCACAUCAUCUGCGCGGGUGCUGGUCCAGUGAGAUGUCACAAUCUUUCUGUGAGCAGGACCCUGGAAGAAGAGUCACAUCAUCUGGAUGCUGGUUUUAGUGAUAUAUCAAAAUUCCCCCUGUGGGCAGGUGUUAGUAAGGUGAGGACACUGACUUCACCUAGGCAAUUGGCCUAGAUCUGUGUCACAAUGGCCGCUAUGUGCAAAACCAAGAUAUGAAAGUGACCUCACCUUGGCACUGGGUUUAGCAAUAUGUCACAAUCUCCUCUGUGGUCAGGGCAAGGCAAGAGAGGAGAAAAAUCACCUUGGUGCUUAACAAAGCUUCCUGUUGGCACAACCCAAAGCGCAGAGUCAUAUCACCUGGGUGCAGUACCCAGUUAUGUGUCACAAUGCAUCAUAAGUGCAGGGCCAAGGCAGUAGAAGGGAGUCAC
This 4021-nucleotide long non-coding RNA is filed under the name Homo sapiens (human). RNAcentral describes it as "HSALNT0123590". Lineage: Eukaryota; Metazoa; Chordata; Mammalia; Primates; Hominidae. The record is from RNAcentral.